CCCCACUGCUAUCGGGAUGGGACUAAGACAUGCUAGUCGUGCGUCUCCAAGCCAUGGCGGAGACGCGGCGCACAGCUCAGUAACACGUGGCUAACCUGCCCUUAGGACAGGGACAACCCCGGGAAACUGGGGCUAAUCCCUGAUAGGUGAGGGUUCCUGGAAUGGGCCCUCGCCGAAAGGGCGUCUAGACCAUGCUUCUAGGCGCUGCCCAAGGAUGGAGCCGCGGCCGAUCAGGUUGUUGGUGAGGCAACGGCUCACCAAGCCUUUAACCGGUACGGGCCGUGAGAGCGGGAGCCCGGAGAUGGGUACUGAGACAAGGACCCAGGCCCUACGGGGCGCAGCAGUCGCGAAAACUCCGCAAUACGCGAAAGCGUGGCGGGGCUAUCCCGAGUGCCGUCCGCUGAGGAUGGCUUUUCCCUAGUGUAUAAAGCUGGGGGAAUAAGGAGAGGGCAAGCCUGGUGUCAGCCGCCGCGGUAAUACCAGCUCUCCGAGUGGUGGGGAUGCUUAUUGGGCCUAAAGCAUUCGUAGCCGGUUGGGCAAGUCCUCCGUUAAAUCCAGCGAUUCAAUCGUUGGACUGCGGGGGAUACUGCCCGGCUUGGGGGCGGAAGAGGCCGACGGUAUUCUCGGGGUAGGGGUGAAAUCCUAUAAUCCCGGGAGGACCACCAGUGGCGAAGGCUGUCGGCUAGAACGCGCCCGACGGUGAGGGAUGAAAGCUGGGGGAGCGAACCGGAUUAGAUACCCGGGUAGUCCCAGCCGUAAACGAUGCAGGCUAGGUGUUGGCGCGGCUACGUGCCGCUCCAGUGCCGCAAGGAAGCCGUUAAGCCUGCCGCCUGGGAAGUACGGCCGCAAGGCUGAAACUUAAAGGAAUUGGCGGGGGAGCACCACAAGGGGUGAAGCUUGCGGUUU
This 906-nucleotide ribosomal RNA is filed under the name uncultured archaeon. RNAcentral describes it as "bacterial SSU rRNA". It matches the Rfam family "Archaeal small subunit ribosomal RNA", at positions 21 to 903 of the family's 1478-position model. The record is from RNAcentral.